UUUUUUUUCUUUUUUUUUUUUUUUUAAGUGCUACUUUUGUUCCGCAUCGCAAUUAUCUUCUCUCCUUUAAUUCUGACGCUCGCUCCUUUGGGUUAAAAGUGCUGACGGGGGGGAUUUGCGUUUAGCAGAGCCAGACAAGCAGUGACCACAAAGGCUCUGAGGACUCCGCAGGAAGGGGGGGCACCUUGAGGCGAAUAAGUACGGCAGAAAGAAAUAAAAAACAAAAUCCAAGGUGUCCAAGUGAACGUCUCUGACUUUUGAGAGGAUUUAUGCUGGGUUGGACAGACAAGCUUUCUAAGUGAUGGACAAAGUCUUAUCCCGCGGUUUACGGUGUUUCCAGCUAUUGUUCUGCCUUCAGACCCCAGAAUGAGGGCUUUCGUCCGGGGAUGCGACUAUUGAGGCCCCCCCCCCCCCCCCCCCCAGCCCCCAGUCUGGUUAUGAUCUGCUCGAAAACAUCAUUACUACUGCAAGUCUGUUAUCAGUUUGGAGCCCCGGAGUUGAGAUUCCAGGCAAAGAAAGAGGAGAAACUACAGCGGACUUUUCUUUAAGGACUUCUCUGUAGGUGAAGUGUUGGCUAGGUUUCUGAAUAUGGACCUCCACUGACUUCUGACAAGCAAAAAUACCUCGGGCUCUGCAAGUUAACUCUUCCGAAGUGCAACAUUUGGAAUUAACCUUAAACCAGCCGCCUAAAAACCAAAGCAUUCAGCAGGUCGUUGCAAGUAUACAAGCUGGGCUGCUGCAAGCAGCUUUUGGGCUCCCUGUAUAUUACCAUCUCAGCUUGGGAUGCAGCUGAAUUUCUUUUUGCCUUAAAAAUGCAGCUCCCUCGCACCAAAUCAGCAGCAAAUGUUGCAACCCGACCGGGUUUCCCUUCAAAGGAAGCUCAGGAAAUCUCUUCCAUUUAAAACACUCCCUGGAAGUUACGGCCAUAAAUCACAAAAGUUUCGAGACAAGGCGGUAGCGAAAUGGAGAAAGAAAAUAUUCUGCUGUAAUCCGGGGCAGCCGUGUUUGGUGGGGAAAUAGGAAAUAAAGGAAGGAAUAAAGUC
This is a long non-coding RNA of Lagopus leucura (white-tailed ptarmigan), 1043 nucleotides long. RefSeq lists it as uncharacterized. The transcript is spliced from 2 exons. The record is from RefSeq and is a predicted model, not a curated record. NCBI's taxonomy places the organism in Eukaryota, Metazoa, Chordata, Aves, Galliformes, Phasianidae.